UCCCUUUCACUAACCAAGAGAAACUUCUCCUAGACCUCUAACAGGAUGUACUCACUAAAACCUUACAGGGUACACAUGUUACUGUCAACCUACAUUCUGCUCUGAUUAAUGAAUCUCUACGUGCAAUCAAGACUUUGUCUGAAACCAUACCUCAGGAUAUUAUGUACACACGAGUGGUGAGAGAUUUGAUGCAGGACCUGCUCAGGGAAGUAAGUUCCACACUGGACAGCUUGGUUGAAAGUCGUAUUUCCCCGUACUUGGUACCACUGGACCUGCUCAAAGUUAGCUUGACAGCUGCUACCCCUCUACUGUGCACCUUUCACAAAUCCACCUAGCAUACAGCCUAGGUAGUGCAAUUCCCAUUCACGUUGAUGCAGAACAUUAGAACUCGGUUUCCUGUUACAUGUUCCCAUAAUUGUGACACCUCACAUCUAUAGGUUUAGGUCGAUGCUGAGCAUUGGUAUUUGAAAGGACGGUAGGCAUUUCCACUUUGAACUAGAAACCUGACACUCCAUCACCUCAACCUCGAACAGCAUGACUCAGAGAUUGAGAUCAUGGACGCUUUCCAGGGUUAUAACUUUGCCUUCGAUUUAGAAAUUGACCAACAAUUACUGAUUGAAGGAACCAAAUUUGUUAAGUUCACACAAAACCCGCGUGAACUUACUUUGACGCCCAAGACGCUACAUUGACACAGAUUAUACGAUUUAAUCUGCACAUUGGUCGCCCUGGGGAUGGAAUGGCUCAUCACGGCCGUGAUAGCUUAUUCCGCCUACAGGCGUGUUAAUAAACUCCAAGAUAAGAUGCACUUGCUCACCUACGGUGUGCCUCGUGACCGCGUUCGGGGAGACUCCAAGCGUGAAUGUACCACACCUGUCUAAAGGGGGUGAGCAACAUUUUCUUUGUUAUUCUGUAACCCUAAGAGUAGUUCUCAUUUUAGUCUACCUCACAUAUUUAUCUGAGUGUUGCAGUAUGUCACAUUCUUUAUAAGCUACACACUGACUGUAUGACCUAAGAAUGUAUUUUAUGAGACCUCAAGGUUGCUAUGAAUUUUCUUGGAUGUUAUAUGUUUUUUUUUUUUUUUUUGGGUUUUCUGUAUUUUUGUUUCUUACUUGGUCACAUAUUAACUAGUGGUUAUGUGCCGGCCCAGCUCAAUCUGUCAAUGACUCUGUCUGACGCACCAGCACAUUGUAGUACCUCUUAGUUUUAUGGUCCUUGUUUUAGCCCAAAGACUGUCCUGAUCCACCCUUUGGACCAAAAAGGGGGGAAUCUUGGGACCACAUAGGUCAAUGCGCGUUUGCGAACUAUGGACCUCGUACAUCACCGCGUGCUCCAUAAACUGAACUGUAUGGCCGGCGGUGAGAUGCCUUUGUGUCCACUCGUGGAGUUAACCGCCCACCGACCUUCCUCCUUCUACACUACUACCUCUCGCAUGGACGACAUCAUCAUUGCGUACCACCUGCGUGAGUGGCUUCUUCUCGUUAUGCGCGUUGGGGACUAUCCCGUUUCCUAUCCUCUUUGUGCCUGACAAAGACAAAGACCAAAGGCGCCAGGAUCCAAGACAAAGACCAAAGACAAAGGCGUCCAAGGAGACCAACGUCCUAAGGGACAAACCCACCUGUGCUUCCGACAAUCAAGUCGACCUACGUUCAUGAGGAACAAACCCAUCUGUGCUUCCGACGAUCGAGCUUUGGGCGCGAUCCCCGAAACCAAAAGGGGGAAUGUUGAGGGUCUGACCUCAUGAGGAAAUUACUAUGCAGUGAUUUUCUCCAAAAUGACUGUGCUUAAAUUGCUCUGAAAAGCAAAUAAUCACAUCAGCGCCAAGAAACUUCAUUUCCCAUGAUGCUUUGCACACGGAAGCAUUGGGUGAUGUUACCGCCUAGUACCAGAAACACGUUCUGCGCAUGUGCGGGAAGCCGUGGAGCUUUCCCCGCGAACUAAGACCAUAAAUCUUCAGCAGAGACAAAGAAACCUCGUUCUUUUGCCCAGGAUACCUGGCGGUAAGGACACGCUUGUCAACGCUCCGACUCCCUUGAGCACGCGGAAGCUCUAAGUGCCCACGUUGAGCCCACGGAACUGCUGGAAACUAAACUGCAAGCCCAUCAGAUCUGCUCGUUUCUGCUCCCCUCCAGCUGAUGUUUGAGGACACAGAACUGCGGAGGAAAGCAACAACUCCAUCAAGCACGCUGUAAGUUAUAACUCAGCACAGAAAGAAACUUUGCUGUCUCUGUCCAGCCCGUGGAGAAACACUCGUGAACGCCAAACAACGGAGAAAGCAUCAAACCGACGGACGACGCCAAACUGCGGAGAAACACGGAGAACCGUCAAAUCAAAACAGUGAGGGACGCUUCACUGUUCUGGUGAUCAGAAACUCAUCUCUUUCUCUCAUUCUUUCCUUCUCCCGUUUCCUCUAUAGUCUCAAAUAAGCAAUAAACCGCGUCUAUUGCUUAAAAAGUAGCUUCGUGUUUUCCUCUUUCGUCCCAAACACGUCCGUCGGGUCAUUUUGAAAGAAUAAACUGCUUAUUGAUCAUUGUUUGGUAUCUUAAAAUGGUUUCUGUCAUGGCCAGGCUGAAACUAAAAGAUAUUAAUUUGUGAUUAAUCUUUUGUGUUGUUUCAUGAUCUUUUGAAAUGUUUUGAGUGAUUUAAGGUUAAGUUACUACUGAUUCUAAGUGCUUUGGAAGUUAAAGUGCAAGUUGCCACCCACACUUUAGCCAGACAAAGGGGUCAGCCAUCUUGUAUUCAAGACUCCAUUUUGAAUCCAUACACACGCACACACACACACACACACACACACACACACAUACACACUACUCCUUUGUGAGAACAAAGGACCCCAUUCAUACAUCCUCCAUCACAUGCAAACACAUCCAUCUUCAAUCAUAUCACACGGUUAUUAUUCAUCUAUUCCACUGUUUAUUCAUUUGACAAAUUGUUAAUUAAAUGUUAUAAAAUUCAGAUUUUUGUGUCCAGUAGCUUUGUUGUGUCGAAGAGAAGUCUCUGCUCCAAGGAUUCUACGAACUUCAAGAAAGACUGAUAAGAGUUUUGGAUUCAAUUUUUCCCCGGAAAAAGGGGAAUGGUGCCCCGUAUAUCUAAGAAUAUCUUAAUUAAUUAAUAAAUCAGUAAAUAUUCCCAUAUUUACAGAAUUUAUUGAAGAAUCCAAAAGUAAGUUGAAGCUUACUAAUUGUUCGCUCCUAAUAACCCCAACAGAUCCAAAGGGCCAUCGUUGGUUCCAGACCCGUUCUACAACAUUCCUCUAAUCUUAAAGUCAUCAUCAGUUUCUUCCUUUUAACAAAUAUUUAUUUGUUAAAAUAUUUAAUAUUUAUAACUGGAAUAUUUGUUCCUCUCUCUCCCACUGCAGUUAGUCCUGUCCUGCAACCCUGUUUUUGCAGCUUAGUGAAGCCAACCAUCACUAACCUGGGGGUGGUUUUGGACCCAGAGAUGCGGAUGGACUCCCACAUUAGCCAGGUGGUUAGAUCCUGCUUUUUCCAGCUUCGCCAGCUACCAAAGAUGAAGUCCAUCCUGAAAGACGUGUCAUAUUUUCUCCCCAAGCCGGACCUGACCACAGAUAUACUGCAGCUCGUUUUCCUCUAGGUGAUCCAGAGAGGCUUGACCUUUGGGUGAGCAACCAAAGAAGAGAGGGCUGGACUCCCAAUUCAUUCUCCCGCUUGUGCAGUGAACACUUUGAGAGUCAUCACUUCACCACGGACUCCAGGGGGAGAGUUUGCCUGAAGGACACAGCCGUACCUACAAUCUUCUCGUCCUUUAAGGUCAAAAAACCUGUUCCAAGAAGGGAAGAACAGGUAAGUAGGAAUGACAAGGUAAGUUUUGAACGUCAUCAGCUUAUCUGAAAGUAAGAUUUAAAAGACCCUAUCAUCUUUGGUGAUCUCACGCCUACACAACAUCCUUUGUUCUAAUGGUGAAAUUAAUUUAAGCUGAUCUUUUACCUGCUGACCUCUAUAACUUUAUUCCUGUUCCUAAUUACAAAGAAACACCUGUGCAGAGGAGGUGUUUUGAAGGUGACAGUUUCUGCUUAUCAAGCAAUAAUUGACAGCUACAAUAAAGCCUGAUUCAUGCUUCUCUGUCAGCUCCAACAGGGAGAGACACGCACGCACGCACGGACGGAGACGUUUAGCGCUCAUAAUUCUCCGUCUCCUGGGGAGUGUUGCAAAGCAAUUCCUGGACCGGACAGCAGAGGGCGGUGAGCUGUUUUGUGAUAUCCUCUCAUGUAUUUGUCCAAAAUAGUGUGAUGAUAUUGUGUUUUUUUUACAUAAGAGACUUUUUAACUGACAAAUUUGUCUCAUUCAUACACCUCUUCAUGGGCUUGCCACCUCUAAAACCACGAUUCCUGUCAUUUCCGUCUGCAAAUAAAACGCUUGCUGUGGAUCGUUUCACUCCUCCAGUCACGGAGAAUAAAAACGUUCAUGUUUUUAGAGUUUUUUUGCAAGGUGUUCUUCAAGUUUCUCCGUGUCUGUUGCUAGUUAUC
Molecule: non-coding RNA, 4480 nt
Organism: Nothobranchius furzeri (turquoise killifish)
Lineage: Eukaryota; Metazoa; Chordata; Actinopteri; Cyprinodontiformes; Nothobranchiidae
Source: RefSeq, a predicted model, not a curated record